UGAGUAUAAAGAACGACUCUCGGCAACGGAUAUCUCGGCUCUCGCAUCGAUGAAGAACGUAGCGAAAUGCGAUACUUGGUGUGAAUUGYAGAAUCCCGUGAACCAUCGAGUCUUUGAACGCAAGUUGCGCCCGAAGCCAUCAUGUCGAGGGCACGUCUGCCUGGGYGUCACAC
RNAcentral lists this ribosomal RNA (173 nucleotides) under Ficus ottoniifolia subsp. ottoniifolia. RNAcentral's name for it is "5.8S ribosomal RNA". It matches the Rfam family "5.8S ribosomal RNA". From Rfam's summary of the family: 5.8S ribosomal RNA (5.8S rRNA) is a component of the large subunit of the eukaryotic ribosome. It is transcribed by RNA polymerase I as part of the 45S precursor that also contains 18S and 28S rRNA. The record is from RNAcentral. Lineage: Eukaryota; Viridiplantae; Streptophyta; Magnoliopsida; Rosales; Moraceae.